AGGACGAACGCUGGCGGCGUGCUUAACACAUGCAAGUCGAGCGGAAAGGCCCUUCGGGGUACUCGAGCGGCGAACGGGUGAGUAACACGUGAGCAACCUGCCCUUAGCUUCGGGAUAGCUCCGGGAAACCGGAAUUAAUACCGGAUAUGACUAUGGCCGACAUCAGCCAUGGUGGAAAGUUUUUCGGCUAGGGAUGGACUCGCGGCCUAUCAGCUAGUUGGUGAGGUAACGGCUCACCAAGGCGACGACGGGUAGCCGGCCUGAGAGGGCGACCGGCCACACUGGGACUGAGACACGGCCCAGACUCCUACGGGAGGCAGCAGUGGGGAAUAUUGCGCAAUGGGCGAAAGCCUGACGCAGCGACGCCGCGUUGGGGAUGAAUGCCUUCGGGUUGUAAACCCUUUCAGCAGGGACGAAGCGAAAGUGACGGUACCUGCAGAAGAAGCGCCGGCUAACUACGCGCCAGCAGCCGC
Molecule: ribosomal RNA, 473 nt
Filed under: uncultured bacterium
Lineage: Bacteria
Description: SSU rRNA
Rfam family: Bacterial small subunit ribosomal RNA
Source: RNAcentral